UGCAUUUAAGUUUUUAUUUUUUAUGAAACGUGUUGGCGAAUGUGUAUUUUAGAUCAAUUUUUUGGUGCCAGUUUUUUAGUCUCUGAGUUUAAACAUGUUAUUUUUUUCUCUCCAAAUUUACCUCAAAUCUUGAAAAAGCCCCAGAAGAAAAAAGCAGGAAUUUAGAGUGGAUAAAAUAUAAGGGUUACACAUAGGCCAAUAUGUACUUGACUUUCAAGCUCACUGAAAUUAAACUAUAUAAAAUUUCUGAUUAUGCAUGUAAAAAAUGGUGGCAUAUUGAUCAUUAACUUGCAUAUCAUUUAAUCUAAAAUCUUUUUUCGGUGAAGUCAUUGAUAAAAAAAUCUUUGAUGACUGGAGGAUGAUUUAUCUUUUCCCUCAUCUUAAGCUUUAUGUUUUAAAAUAUUUUUCAAUAUGAGAGUAAUCUAGACAUAUUCCAGAAAACAUUGGAAAAUUUUGUAGGCUACUUUUUGUAACAUUUUUUCAUUACAGAUUUGUUUUUAUGCUACAUUCUUUCUCCCCAGUUAGAUUUUACUCAUCUGAGACAGUGACCUUAUUGUAUACUUCUUAGUAAUUUUCCGUAUCAGUUAACCAUGGAUGCAGCCUACGCGGCAGUGCCCCGAGUGUGGUAGGCACGCAGUAAAUAUUUGUUGAUGCUCCUGAUUACAGAGUAAUGAAAUACGCUAAAGGUAACUUAAACUUUUGUCAAUAAAAUUGGGCUUCAGGUUAGUUUGACCUUUUUGGUUUCUCUAAAUAUUUCCUUUCAUGUAGACGAAAUGACCCACAAAAAUGCGUAUUGAUUCCGAAAUCCUUUUGCCCUUCUACCUUUCUACACUCUGAAGUCAGGAAAUAUUUCAUAGUCCUCACUUACAGACAAGUAUGAUUGAUGCUGUGGUUUGCUAAUUUUAUUAAAAUUGUGCUUAUUAACACUCCUUAUUUAGUAAAAAUUGUUGGUCUCCAGUAUACACAAAGCAUGAUUUUUAAGGACUGUUCCUUUUCUUUCUUUCUUUCUUUCUUUCUUUCUUUCUUUCUUUCUUUCUUUCUUUCUUUCUUUCUUUCCUUCCUUCUUUCUUUCUUUGGAGAGAGAAAGCAACUUUUUAAAUUUUAUUUUAUUUUUUGUAUUAUUUUAUUUUAUGUGGAAGUUUCUUUCUUUUUUUCUUUUUUGUCUUUUUGCUAUUUCUUGGGCCGCUCCUGCGGCAUAUGGAGGUUCCCAGGCUAGGGGUCAAAUUGGAGCUGUAGCCCCCGGCCUACGCCACAGCCACAGCAACUCGGGAUCUGAGCCGCGUCUGCAACCUGCACCACAGCUCAGGGCAACGCCGGAUCCUUAACCCACUGAGCAAGGGCAGGGAUCGAACCUGCAAUCUCAUGGUUCCUAGUCGGAUUCAUUAACCACUGCGCCCUGACAGGAACUCCGAAAGUUUCUUUCUUAGGAGAGGGAAAGCAACCUAUUUUUAUUUUAUUUUAUUUUAUUUUAUUUUAUUUUAUUUUAUGUGCAAGUUCCAUGGGUUAUUGAACCCAUGCCAUAGUGACUCAAGCCACUGCAGUGACAAUGUGUGAUCCUUAACCUGCUGUGCCACAAAGAACUCUAGGACUGUUCAUUUCAAUGAGUCAAUAACUUUGCACUAUUUUCCCUUCCAUGCAAAAUCAGAUGCCAAUAUUAACUAUAUAUAUUUAUAAAUAAUAUGUGCUUUUAACAUUUUUUUUUUGGUCUUUUGUCUUUUUAGGGCUGUACCCGCAGCAUGCGGAGGUUCCCAGGCUAAGUGUUGAAUAGCAGCUGUAGCCCCUGACCUACGCCAAGACCACAGCAAUGCCAGAUCCGAGCCAUGUCUGCGACCUACACCACAGCUCACAGCAAUGCUGGAUCCUUAACCCACUGAGCGAGGCUAGGGAUCAAACCCGAAACCUCAUGGUUCCUAGUCGGAUUCGUUUCUGCUGUGCCGUGAUGGGAACUCUGCUUUUAACAUUUUCAUUUAAAAUCAUAGUAGAUAUCAUAUAUCAAGCACCUACUAUGUGGUGGACACUGUUCUUAGUGCAUUAAAGUUAUUAUCUGAUUUAAUCCUCACAUAAUCCUGUGAGGAAGGAACAUUAUUCUCACUUUACAGAUAAGGAAACCCAGGCUUAGAGAAUUUAUGUCUAACUAAGAUCACAGGGCUAGGAAAACAGCCAAGCCUGGGUCUAAAUAUAAGUUUUAAACACUGUAGUACGUAUAUGCCUAAGUCUACUAGAAAAGGUUUUCCUGUAAACAGGCAGCCUAGGGUUACUAAAGGGAAGCCCCAGGAGCCUGCACAGAAAAAUGCUAAGGCAGCGGCAAUGCAUUGACAAGCAGAGGGGGUGACUGGAGCCCCAGAUUCAUUUGGUCCCAGAGGCCAGUCUUUCCAAUAUAGAAUCAGCCAGCAACUCUCCCCUUUUCUGGUCCCAUUGUUUAUGCUGCCACCCUCCAUUCAUAAAAUGGUACCCCAUUUGGUUUGUCCAGUGAUGCAAACAUCCCCAGUGAGUUCUCAUGACUAGGAAAUAAACUGGCUUUCGGGUUGAUCUAGAGGACUCUGUGAGCCAGCCUCUGACAGAGGGCUCCACUCCCUGGUUGGAGGCAAAGUCUGGGGAUUGGACCCUUGAGAGGAGUAAGUCAUCAAGGCAAAUGUCUUCCUUGCCAAGACUCCAACCUCACCAACAGCUUUCUAUUCAAAACAACAGUCUAAAAGUUUGUAGUGUGAAUUUCAACUAAGUUAAAAAAAAAAAAAAAAAAAAAAAGACCGGAGUUCCCAUCGAGGAUCAGGGGAAACAGAAUCUGACCAGCGUCCAUGAGGAUGCAGGUUCAAUCCCUGGCCUCACUCAGUGGGUUAAGGAUCAGCGUUGCCCUGAGCUGUGGUGUAGGUGGCAGACACAGACCAGUGACUACAGCUCCAAUUCAGCCCAUAGCCUGAGAACCUCCAUAUGCCUCAGGUGUGUCCCUAAAAAGAC
RNAcentral lists this long non-coding RNA (2955 nucleotides) under Sus scrofa (pig). RNAcentral's name for it is "lncRNA (ENSSSCG00050073481.1)". Lineage: Eukaryota; Metazoa; Chordata; Mammalia; Artiodactyla; Suidae. The record is from RNAcentral.